GGAUUUGUGCCUGAUAAAAGGGCAGCCUUGAUAGGGCCGAACAUGAGGGUUAAAGCCCCUCCAACUCCU
Molecule: transfer RNA, 69 nt
Filed under: Aeoliscus strigatus (razorfish)
Lineage: Eukaryota; Metazoa; Chordata; Actinopteri; Syngnathiformes; Centriscidae
Description: tRNA-Ile
Rfam family: tRNA
About the family: Transfer RNA (tRNA) molecules are approximately 80 nucleotides in length. Their secondary structure includes four short double-helical elements and three loops (D, anti-codon, and T loops).
Source: RNAcentral